UACGUAGGGGCCUAGCGUUGUCCGGAAUUAUUGGGCGUAAAGAGCUCGUAGGCGGUUGGGUAAGUCGGGUGUGAAAACUCAGGGCUCAACUCUGAGACGCCACUCGAUACUGCUCUGACUCGAGUCCGGUAGGGGAGCGUGGAAUUCCCGGUGUAGCGGUGAAAUGCGCAGAUAUCGGGAGGAACACCAGUGGCGAAGGCGGCGCUCUGGGCCGGAACUGACGCUGAGGAGCGAAAGCGUGGGUAGCAAACAGG
This 254-nucleotide ribosomal RNA is filed under the name uncultured bacterium. Its description in RNAcentral is "partial 16S ribosomal RNA". It matches the Rfam family "Bacterial small subunit ribosomal RNA", at positions 524 to 776 of the family's 1533-position model. The record is from RNAcentral.